CCUACGGGAGGCAGCAGUGGGGAAUAUUGCACAAUGGGGGAAACCCUGAUGCAGCGACGCCGCGUGAGUGAAGAAGUAUUUCGGUAUGUAAAGUUCUAUCAGCAGGGAAGAAACAGCGACCGUUGGGUCGGCAGAAGGCACCUGAUAAAGACGCGCCGGCUAACUACGUGCCAGCAGCCGCGGGAACAUGUAGGGGGCAAGCGUUAUCCGGAUUUACUGGGUGCAAAGGGAGCGUAGACGGCGGCGCAAGUCUGAAGUGAAAUGCGGGGGCUUAACCCCUGAACUGCUUUGGAAACUGUGCAGCUAGAGUACAGGAGAGGUAGAUGGAAUUCCUAGUGUAGCGGUGAAAUGCGUAGAUAUUAGGAGGAACACCAGUGGCGAAGGCGGCUUACUGGACUGUAACUGACGUUGAGGCGCGAAAGCGUGGGGAGCAAACAGGAUUAGAUACCCGUGUAGUC
This 458-nucleotide ribosomal RNA is filed under the name uncultured bacterium. Its description in RNAcentral is "partial 16S ribosomal RNA". It matches the Rfam family "Bacterial small subunit ribosomal RNA", at positions 338 to 795 of the family's 1533-position model. The record is from RNAcentral.